GAUGAAGAACGCAGCGAAAUGCGAUAAGUAGUGUGAAUUGCAGAAUUCAGUGAAUCAUCGAAUCUUUGAACGCACAUUGCGCCCGCUAGUAUUCUGGCGGGCAUGCCUGUCCGAGCGUCAUUUCAACCCAUCAAGCUUAGCGCUUGUGUUGGAGCCCUGCGGCCGCCGCAGCCUCCUAAAAUCAGUGGCGGGCUCGCUAUCACGCUGAGUGCAGUAGUAUUCUUCUCACUCCUGUGGUGUAGCGGGUAACCAGCCGUAAACCCCCCCAUCUAUAAAGGUUGACCUCGGAUCAGGUAGGAAUACCCGCUGAACUUAAGCAUAUCAAUAAGCGGAGGA
RNAcentral lists this unclassified non-coding RNA (336 nucleotides) under soil metagenome. RNAcentral describes it as "partial contains 5.8S ribosomal RNA, internal transcribed spacer 2, and large subunit ribosomal RNA". The stretch from base 1 to 120 matches the Rfam family "5.8S ribosomal RNA", at positions 35 to 154 of the family's 154-position model. The record is from RNAcentral.